RNAcentral lists this ribosomal RNA (305 nucleotides) under uncultured bacterium. RNAcentral describes it as "bacterial SSU rRNA". It matches the Rfam family "Bacterial small subunit ribosomal RNA", at positions 338 to 641 of the family's 1533-position model. The record is from RNAcentral.
CCUACGGGGGGCAGCAGUGAGGAAUAUUGGUCAAUGGGAGAGAUCCUGAACCAGCCAAGCCGCGUGAGGGAAGACGGCCCUAUGGGUUGUAAACCUCUUUUGUCGGAGAACAAAACCCGGGACGUGUCCCGGACUGCGUGUAUCCGAAGAAAAAGCAUCGGCUAACUCCGUGCCAGCAGCCGCGGUAAUACGGAGGAUGCGAGCGUUAUCCGGAUUUAUUGGGUUUAAAGGGUGCGUAGGCGGGAUGCCAAGUCAGCGGUAAAAAUGCGGUGCUCAACGCCGUCGAGCCGUUGAAACUGGCGUUU